AAAGAAGUGGAUUUUGAAUUGUUUUAGGACAACUAAGUAAAAAGGUGAUGAUCCAAAUAUUUGCUACUCUAAAAAUGACUUCUGUUUUACUUGCACAACUCUAAAGUUACCAUAUAUGUAUAUAAGUCUGAAUAAUUAGACCCUCUGUUUAUUGUUUUCCCAAAAAUCCUAACAGAGGAAAUAUUUUUUUCAACACAUUUCUAAACAUAAUAGUUUUGAAUAACUCAUUUCUAAUAACUGAUUUAUUUUAUCUUCGCGAUGAUGACAGCACAUAAUAUUUGACUAGAUGUUUUUCAAGAUACUAGUAUGCUAGGAAAAUUCCUUGCUCUGUUAAACAUCAUUUGUAAAAUAUUUGAAAAGUAAAACACAAUUCACAGGAGGGCGAAUAAUCUUGACUUCAGCUGUAUAUUACUAGUUCAUCUGCUGUAAACUCAUUGUUUCAGAUGAGCAGACGCUAUGGAGUGAACAUAGGCCUGACGCAUGAGAAGCUGCCACAUCCUUCAAAGCUGAUGGUUAGAAAAAGAAGUCAAAGAGGACACGGACAUGCUGCAAACGUUCUCCAACACAUAGGAGAACUCCGGAUGAGACAGCGCCAUAUAAACCAGUUGAAGGGAGACAAAUGGUGGGGAGCCACAGCUGUUUUCGGACCUGAGGAGAUCGGUGGUCCACAGGAGAUCAAAGAGCAAAGGCUUGAGCAGCUUCUUGGCCUUUCAGCUGAUGUGAGCCUUAAUGAGAUAUUAGAGGACAAUCCGGAUUCAAGCAGGACAAAGCCUUAUGAAGCUCCUUACUCACCCACUCAUCAGUUCUCAUUUCCAGGAUAUGAGCAGUUUCUUGAGCUGGCUCCAGGAGGAAACCCCAUGAUGGCGUUUGUUGCAGGAACAGCCCAUAGAUCCCUCUUGACAGCUGAUGACGCCGCAGGGUUUUCUGGAGGAUCUGACGGGAUCCUGAGGAGCAAUGAUGACAAUGAUAAGAUCAGUCUUUCAAAUCUAGAGUUCUUUUGAAUUAGCUUGACUCUGUUUCGGCCAUGCUCACAUAUCAUUUGCUGUUGUUAAAUGUGUUUUUAUAAACGCAUUUGCAUUUGAUUUUUAUAGUUGCAGAUGUUUUAUGAUGAGUGUUGAGGUUUUUAAUGCUCAGUUCAUAAUGCAGGGGUAUUGGUGGAACGGUUCAUGAUGCAUUUGGCUUAUAGGUCAAGUUUUAAAAGAUAAAAGACUUGACUUUGUUCUCUUGGCUGGAUUGAAAGAAAGUUCUGCUUGGUCAUUUACAACUGAAAUAUUUAGUAAUGGAGACACAUGUUUGCUGUUUUGGCAUUUAUGAAUAUUUAAUUUAUGAUCCAUGUGAUUUUGAAUCUUCAUCCAACAAUUAAACAGGCAAUAAAAAAAAAACAACAUUUUCAAAUAUAUCCUGCAGGUAUGACAUUUAUAUAUUUGAAAACCAAAUAUGAACUUGUAUGUAUUUGCAUAAACUCCUCUAUAGUAUUUGGUCUAUGUGGGUCUCUG
Molecule: long non-coding RNA, 1496 nt
Filed under: Danio rerio (zebrafish)
Lineage: Eukaryota; Metazoa; Chordata; Actinopteri; Cypriniformes; Danionidae
Description: lncRNA (ENSDARG00000117346.1)
Source: RNAcentral